AUCUUUGCGCUUGGGACAAUGACGCAAUUAAUGAGUACUAACCGAGGCGCGUCUAUUGCUGGUUGAAAACUAUUUCCAAACCCCUUCUUAUGCUUGGGAUCUCCUCAAGCCUUCGAGAAUUUCUGGAAGGACUCCCUUUGAGGUAAAGUC
RNAcentral lists this small nuclear RNA (150 nucleotides) under Trifolium pratense (red clover). RNAcentral's name for it is "snRNA U4". It matches the Rfam family "U4 spliceosomal RNA". From Rfam's summary of the family: U4 small nuclear RNA (U4 snRNA) is a component of the major U2-dependent spliceosome. The structure of U4 snRNA from yeast and human has been reported. U4 snRNA presents a k-turn RNA motif in the 5p-SL related to recognition of Snu13 protein. The record is from RNAcentral. Lineage: Eukaryota; Viridiplantae; Streptophyta; Magnoliopsida; Fabales; Fabaceae.